Molecule: ribosomal RNA, 483 nt
Filed under: uncultured bacterium
Lineage: Bacteria
Description: partial 16S ribosomal RNA
Rfam family: Bacterial small subunit ribosomal RNA
Source: RNAcentral
GACGAACGCUGGCGGCGUGCUUAACACAUGCAAGUCGAACGCUGAAGCUCAGCUUUUGUUGGGUGGAUGAGUGGCGAACGGGUGAGUAACACGUGAGUAACCUGCCUCCUUCUUUGGGAUAACGCCCGGAAACGGGUGCUAAUACUGGAUAUUCACUGGUCUUCGCAUGGGGGUUGGUGGAAAGGGUUUUUCUGGUGGGGGAUGGGCUCGCGGCCUAUCAGCUUGUUGGUGGGGUGAUGGCCUACCAAGGCUUUGACGGGUAGCCGGCCUGAGAGGGUGACCGGUCACAUUGGGACGGAGAUACGGCCCAGACUCCGACGGGAGGCAGCAGUGGGGAAUAUUGCACAAUGGGCGCAAGCCUGAUGCAGCGACGCCGCGUGAGGGAUGGAGGCCUUCGGGUUGUGAACCUCUUUCGCUCAUGGUCAAGCCGCAACAAUGGUUGUGGUGAGGGUAGUGGGUAAAGAAGCGCCGGCUAACUACGUG